Molecule: long non-coding RNA, 352 nt
Filed under: Sorghum bicolor (sorghum)
Lineage: Eukaryota; Viridiplantae; Streptophyta; Magnoliopsida; Poales; Poaceae
Description: long non-coding RNA (SBIC_LNC002836)
Source: RNAcentral
UAGCAAUAGAUUUGGUUAGUCAGAUGCACCCUUUCUCCCAGUGGUAAAAAUAUAAAUACGAUAACUCUGGAUAACCUCCCGGGUGAAAUGCUCACCGAUAUCCGUGCGCUUGCGGAUCAUUUUCUAAUUGCGUUACCAAAUAUCAACACCAGGUCGGUUGGCUCGCCACCGACUUAAGCAUGUCUCCCACGUGUUGGUUUCACCACUACUAUCUCUAAGGUGGUUCACAUGGUCGGUUCAUCCAAGGGCCAAGGUGGAGAAGCACACAGAUUGAUGACGUGGUGGUGGAGUAGCCCCUACUCCACCUUCCCCUAUAAAUAGAGGCUUCCACCACCCUUGAGAAGUAUCCCCA